This 1333-nucleotide ribosomal RNA is filed under the name Escherichia coli. Its description in RNAcentral is "partial 23S ribosomal RNA". It matches the Rfam family "Bacterial large subunit ribosomal RNA", at positions 165 to 1540 of the family's 2925-position model. The record is from RNAcentral. Lineage: Bacteria; Pseudomonadati; Pseudomonadota; Gammaproteobacteria; Enterobacterales; Enterobacteriaceae.
CAUAGGUUAAUGAGGCGAACCGGGGGAACUGAAACAUCUAAGUACCCCGAGGAAAAGAAAUCAACCGAGAUUCCCCCAGUAGCGGCGAGCGAACGGGGAGCAGCCCAGAGCCUGAAUCAGUGUGUGUGUUAGUGGAAGCGUCUGGAAAGGCGCGCGAUACAGGGUGACAGCCCCGUACACAAAAAUGCACAUACUGUGAGCUCGAUGAGUAGGGCGGGACACGUGGUAUCCUGUCUGAAUAUGGGGGGACCAUCCUCCAAGGCUAAAUACUCCUGACUGACCGAUAGUGAACCAGUACCGUGAGGGAAAGGCGAAAAGAACCCCGGCGAGGGGAGUGAAAAAGAACCUGAAACCGUGUACGUACAAGCAGUGGGAGCACGCUUAGGCGUGUGACUGCGUACCUUUUGUAUAAUGGGUCAGCGACUUAUAUUCUGUAGCAAGGUUAACCGAAUAGGGGAGCCGAAGGGAAACCGAGUCUUAACUGGGCGUUAAGUUGCAGGGUAUAGACCCGAAACCCGGUGAUCUAGCCAUGGGCAGGUUGAAGGUUGGGUAACACUAACUGGAGGACCGAACCGACUAAUGUUGAAAAAUUAGCGGAUGACUUGUGGCUGGGGGUGAAAGGCCAAUCAAACCGGGAGAUAGCUGGUUCUCCCCGAAAGCUAUUUAGGUAGCGCCUCGUGAAUUCAUCUCCGGGGGUAGAGCACUGUUUCGGCAAGGGGGUCAUCCCGACUUACCAACCCGAUGCAAACUGCGAAUACCGGAGAAUGUUAUCACGGGAGACACACGGCGGGUGCUAACGUCCGUCGUGAAGAGGGAAACAACCCAGACCGCCAGCUAAGGUCCCAAAGUCAUGGUUAAGUGGGAAACGAUGUGGGAAGGCCCAGACAGCCAGGAUGUUGGCUUAGAAGCAGCCAUCAUUUAAAGAAAGCGUAAUAGCUCACUGGUCGAGUCGGCCUGCGCGGAAGAUGUAACGGGGCUAAACCAUGCACCGAAGCUGCGGCAGCGACGCUGAUGCGUUGUUGGGUAGGGGAGCGUUCUGUAAGCCUGCGAAGGUGUGCUGUGAGGCAUGCUGGAGGUAUCAGAAGUGCGAAUGCUGACAUAAGUAACGAUAAAGCGGGUGAAAAGCCCGCUCGCCGGAAGACCAAGGGUUCCUGUCCAACGUUAAUCGGGGCAGGGUGAGUCGACCCCUAAGGCGAGGCCGAAAGGCGUAGUCGAUGGGAAACAGGUUAAUAUUCCUGUACUUGGUGUUACUGCGAAGGGGGGACGGAGAAGGCUAUGUUGGCCGGGCGACGGUUGUCCCGGUUUAAGCGUGUAGGCUGGUUUUCCAGGCAAA